Molecule: ribosomal RNA, 1372 nt
Filed under: uncultured bacterium
Lineage: Bacteria
Description: bacterial SSU rRNA
Rfam family: Bacterial small subunit ribosomal RNA
Source: RNAcentral
GAUGAACGCUGGCGGCGUGCCUAAUACAUGCAAGUCGAGCGAACGGACGAGAAGCUUGCUUCUCUGAUGUUAGCGGCGGACGGGUGAGUAACACGUGGAUAACCUACCUAUAAGACUGGGAUAACUUCGGGAAACCGGAGCUAAUACCGGAUAAUAUUUUGAACCGCAUGGUUCAAAAGUGAAAGACGGUCUUGCUGUCACUUAUAGAUGGAUCCGCGCUGCAUUAGCUAGUUGGUAAGGUAACGGCUUACCAAGGCAACGAUGCAUAGCCGACCUGAGAGGGUGAUCGGCCACACUGGAACUGAGACACGGUCCAGACUCCUACGGGAGGCAGCAGUAGGGAAUCUUCCGCAAUGGGCGAAAGCCUGACGGAGCAACGCCGCGUGAGUGAUGAAGGUCUUCGGAUCGUAAAACUCUGUUAUUAGGGAAGAACAUAUGUGUAAGUAACUGUGCACAUCUUGACGGUACCUAAUCAGAAAGCCACGGCUAACUACGUGCCAGCAGCCGCGGUAAUACGUAGGUGGCAAGCGUUAUCCGGAAUUAUUGGGCGUAAAGCGCGCGUAGGCGGUUUUUUAAGUCUGAUGUGAAAGCCCACGGCUCAACCGUGGAGGGUCAUUGGAAACUGGAAAACUUGAGUGCAGAAGAGGAAAGUGGAAUUCCAUGUGUAGCGGUGGAAUGCGCAGAGAUAUGGAGGAACACCAGUGGCGAAGGCGACUUUCUGGUCUGUAACUGACGCUGAUGUGCGAAAGCGUGGGGAUCAAACAGGAUUAGAUACCCUGGUAGUCCACGCCGUAAACGAUGAGUGCUAAGUGUUAGGGGGUUUCCGCCCCUUAGUGCUGCAGCUAACGCAUUAAGCACUCCGCCUGGGGAGUACGACCGCAAGGUUGAAACUCAAAGGAAUUGACGGGGACCCGCACAAGCGGUGGAGCAUGUGGUUUAAUUCGAAGCAACGCGAAGAACCUUACCAAAUCUUGACAUCCUUUGACAACUCUAGAGAUAGAGCUUUCCCCUUCGGGGGACAAAGUGACAGGUGGUGCAUGGUUGUCGUCAGCUCGUGUCGUGAGAUGUUGGGUUAAGUCCCGCAACGAGCGCAACCCUUAAGCUUAGUUGCCAUCAUUAAGUUGGGCACUCUAAGUUGACUGCCGGUGACAAACCGGAGGAAGGUGGGGAUGACGUCAAAUCAUCAUGCCCCUUAUGAUUUGGGCUACACACGUGCUACAAUGGACAAUACAAAGGGCAGCGAAACCGCGAGGUCAAGCAAAUCCCAUAAAGUUGUUCUCAGUUCGGAUUGUAGUCUGCAACUCGACUACAUGAAGCUGGAAUCGCUAGUAAUCGUAGAUCAGCAUGCUACGGUGAAUACGUUCCCGGGUCU